UCGACGGACUCAUAUUGAAACCUAGUGAUUUAUGAGUUAGUGGCGGACGGGUGAGUAACGCGUGGAAAACCUGCCGUAUACCGGGGGAUAACACUUAGAAAUAGGUGCUAAUACCGCAUAAGCGCACAGCUUCGCAUGAAGCAGUGUGAAAAACUCCGGUGGUAUAUGAUGGUUCCGCGUCUGAUUAGCUAGUUGGCGGGGUAACGGCCCACCAAGGCAGCGAUCAGUAGCCGGCCUGAGAGGGUGAACGGCCACAUUGGGACUGAGACACGGCCCAAACUCCUACGGGAGGCAGCAGUGGGGAAUAUUGCACAAUGGGGGAAACCCUGAUGCAGCGACGCCGCGUGAGUGAAGAAGUAUUUCGGUACGUAAAGCUCUAUCAGCAGGGAAGAAAAUGACGGUACCUGACUAAGAAGCCCCGGCUAACUACGUGCCAGCAGCCGCGGUAAUACGUAGGGGGCAAGCGUUAUCCGGAUUUACUGGGUGUAAAGGGAGCGCAGACGGCAGCGCAAGUCUGGAGUGAAAUGCCGGGGCCCAACCCCGGAACUGCUUUGGAAACUGUGCAGCUUGAGUGCGGGAGAGGUAAGUGGAAUUCCUAGUGUAGCGGUGAAAUGCGUAGAUAUUAGGAGGAACACCAGUGGCGAAGGCGGCUUACUGGACCGUAACUGACGUUGAGGCUCGAAAGCGUGGGGAGCAAACAGGAUUAGAUACCCUGGUAGUCCACGCCGUANACGAUGAUUACUAGGUGUCGGGGNACCAAGGUCCUCCGGUGCCGGCGCAAACGCAUUAAGUAAUCCACCUGGGGAGUACGUUCGCAAGAAUGAAACUCAAAG
Molecule: ribosomal RNA, 833 nt
Filed under: uncultured bacterium
Lineage: Bacteria
Description: bacterial SSU rRNA
Rfam family: Bacterial small subunit ribosomal RNA
Source: RNAcentral